This 86-nucleotide transfer RNA is filed under the name Mycolicibacterium flavescens. RNAcentral describes it as "tRNA-Ser(act)". The record is from RNAcentral. Lineage: Bacteria; Bacillati; Actinomycetota; Actinomycetes; Mycobacteriales; Mycobacteriaceae.
CCGGUGGUGGCCACGUCGGUACCGGCGCAGCAGCUUCUACUGGAAGCUGAUCGCGCUCGACCAGCGGUUCGACAUCGCCGACCGGA